RNAcentral lists this ribosomal RNA (497 nucleotides) under uncultured bacterium. RNAcentral's name for it is "partial 16S ribosomal RNA". It matches the Rfam family "Bacterial small subunit ribosomal RNA", at positions 28 to 507 of the family's 1533-position model. The record is from RNAcentral.
GGUGAACGCUGGCGGCGUGCCUAAUACAUGCAAGUCGAGCGAACGGACGAGAAGCUUGCUUCUCUGAUGUUAGCGGCGGACGGGUGAGUAACACGUGGAUAACCUACCUAUAAGACUGGGAUAACUUCGGGAAACCGGAGCUAAUACCGGAUAAUAUUUUGAACCGCAUGGUUCAAAAGUGAAAGACGGUCUUGCUGUCACUUAUAGAUGGAUCCGCGCUGCAUUAGCUAGUUGGUAAGGUAACGGCUUACCAAGGCAACGAUGCAUAGCCGACCUGAGAGGGUGAUCAGCCACACUGGAACUGAGACACGGUCCAGACUCCUACGGGAGGCAGCAGUAGGGAAUCUUCCGCAAUGGGCGAAAGCCUGACGGAGCAACGCCGCGUGAGUGAUGAAGGUCUUCGGAUCGUAAAACUCUGUUAUUAGGGAAGAACAUAUGUGUAAGUAACUGUGCACAUCUUGACGGUACCUAAUCAGAAAGCCACGGCUAACUACGUG